This 165-nucleotide ribosomal RNA is filed under the name Plectranthias maekawa. RNAcentral describes it as "partial 12S ribosomal RNA". Lineage: Eukaryota; Metazoa; Chordata; Actinopteri; Perciformes; Anthiadidae. The record is from RNAcentral.
GCGGUUAUACGAGGGGCCCAAGUUGAUAGCCGUCGGCGUAAAGGGUGGUUAAGGUAGAACUAACACUAAAGCCGAAUGUACACAAAGCUGUUAUACGCACUCGAAAAUAAGAAGCUCAAUUACGAAAGUAGCUUUACAUCUCCCGAAUCCACGAAAACUAUGACA